RNAcentral lists this ribosomal RNA (842 nucleotides) under Yersinia enterocolitica. Its description in RNAcentral is "partial 23S ribosomal RNA". It matches the Rfam family "Bacterial large subunit ribosomal RNA", at positions 344 to 1191 of the family's 2925-position model. The record is from RNAcentral. Lineage: Bacteria; Pseudomonadati; Pseudomonadota; Gammaproteobacteria; Enterobacterales; Yersiniaceae.
GGAAAGUCGCACGGUACAGGGUGAUAGUCCCGUACACAAAAAUGCAUAUGUUGUGAGUUCGAUGAGUAGGGCGGGACACGUGACAUCCUGUCUGAAUAUGGGGGGACCAUCCUCCAAGGCUAAAUACUCCUGACUGACCGAUAGUGAACCAGUACCGUGAGGGAAAGGCGAAAAGAACCCCGGCGAGGGGAGUGAAAUAGAACCUGAAACCGUGUACGUACAAGCAGUGGGAGCACCUUCGUGGUGUGACUGCGUACCUUUUGUAUAAUGGGUCAGCGACUUAUAUUUUGUAGCAAGGUUAACCGAAUAGGGGAGCCGUAGGGAAACCGAGUCUUAACUGGGCGAAUAGUUGCAAGGUAUAGACCCGAAACCCGGUGAUCUAGCCAUGGGCAGGUUGAAGGUUGGGUAACACUAACUGGAGGACCGAACCGACUAAUGUUGAAAAAUUAGCGGAUGACUUGUGGCUGGGGGUGAAAGGCCAAUCAAACCGGGAGAUAGCUGGUUCUCCCCGAAAGCUAUUUAGGUAGCGCCUCGUGAACUCAUCUUCGGGGGUAGAGCACUGUUUCGGCUAGGGGGUCAUCCCGACUUACCAAACCGAUGCAAACUCCGAAUACCGAAGAAUGUUAUCACGGGAGACACACGGCGGGUGCUAACGUCCGUCGUGAAGAGGGAAACAACCCAGACCGCCAGCUAAGGUCCCAAAGUCAUGGUUAAGUGGGAAACGAUGUGGGAAGGCAUAGACAGCCAGGAUGUUGGCUUAGAAGCAGCCAUCAUUUAAAGAAAGCGUAAUAGCUCACUGGUCGAGUCGGCCUGCGCGGAAGAUGUAACGGGGCUAAACCAUG